Molecule: long non-coding RNA, 1338 nt
Filed under: Olea europaea subsp. europaea
Lineage: Eukaryota; Viridiplantae; Streptophyta; Magnoliopsida; Lamiales; Oleaceae
Source: RNAcentral
UCACUCUCUCAUCAUCACCAUCAAACCCACGUACAAUUGCACUCAUCAUCACCAUUGAUAUCUCAUCACCAAACCUACAAAAAUAUCAAGCCCUUGCCAUCACAAAACAACCAUCGCCAUCAAAUCAAUCUACACCACGAUACUCGAUUUGCUCAAUUGUCAUCACCAUGACCUUCAUCCACAUCCACCAUUAAAAAUGACACGUCACACCCGAUCUUGCCACCACUACCAUUACAAAGCCUCAACUUUAGUAAGACGAGCAUUUUCAUUACUAUACUACCUUAGCUUCAGUAAGACAAAAGCAUUUUUUGCUUUAUAAAAAAUGAGAGCCUAUGCAACAGGCUUCUAUGACAAGGUCUAAAUAUAUAGUUUUUCAAAUAUUACACUCUUCAAAGUUAAAUAUCUCAUAUAAAUUGAUAAGACCUCAAACUUGAGCAACUAUUGUUAUACACCUGUCUGCAUAGCAAACUAUAUGGCUUCUAGCUAAGCAAAUUGUCACACAAGUAUUUUUGAGAUCAUUGAUAGAAGCAUGUCGCUUCCACAGCCUUUAUUUUUGAGGUGAUGAAGGAACAUUUCAUCAUCCCUUCAAUCGUUAUUUUUUGAGACAUUGAGAGCAUUGUCUAACUCCUCAUCAACAAAUGCCUCCAAUUACAUAGCUCUUUCCAGAAGUAUCACCUCUUAGGUCUGAGGCGAUGAGAACAAACACAACCUUUAGCCACAUCAGCUAAGCCUCUAGUUUUCAAGGUAGCUAUAGUUAAUUCUAGAGGCACCACGUUCACCAUUAAAAUUGACACAUCACACCCUAUCUUGCCACAACUAUCAUUACAAAGCCUUAACUUCAAUAAGGCAAGAGCAUUUUCAUUACAACAUUGCCUUAGCUUCGAUAAGGCAAAAGCAUUUUUCACUUCAUAAACAAUGAGCACCUAUGCAACAGACCUCUAUGACAAGAUCUCAGUACAUAGUUUUUCAAAUCUUACACUCUUGAAAGUCAAAAUAUCUCAUACAUAUUGACAAGACCUUAAACUUAAUCGACUAUUGUUAUACAUCUGCCUUUGUAGCAGAUUUUGUGGCUACUAGCUAAGCAUUUUAAGCAAAAUGCCACACAAGUGUAUUCGAGGCCAUUGAUGGAAGUAUGUUGCUUCCACUACCUUCACUUCUGAGGCAACGAGGGAACACCUCAUCAACAAUUUAUUUUUUGAGACAUUGAGAGCAUAGUCUAACUCCUUGUUAACAAAUGCCUCCAACGACUUAGCUCCUUCCAAAAGCAUUACCUCCUAAAUCUAAGGCAGCAAGAAGAGACACAAUCAUUAGCCACAUUAGUUGAGCUCUUAGUGUUCG